UCUCCGUAGGUGAACCUGCGGAGGGAUCAUUACAGAGUCCAUGCACUACCGGGUAGCUCUCACAUCCUAUGUUAUUAUUACUUUGUUGCUUUGGCGGGCCGUUAGGCUCCGGCCCGACUACCGGCCCCGGCUGGUAAGCGCCCGCCAGAGGACCCAAAACCCUGAAUAUUAGUGUCGUCUGAGUACUAUCUAAUAGUUAAAACUUUCAACAACGGAUCUCUUGGUUCUG
Molecule: unclassified non-coding RNA, 229 nt
Filed under: plant metagenome
Description: partial contains small subunit ribosomal RNA, internal transcribed spacer 1, and 5.8S ribosomal RNA
Source: RNAcentral